This 1218-nucleotide ribosomal RNA is filed under the name Triticum aestivum (bread wheat). RNAcentral's name for it is "partial small subunit ribosomal RNA". The record is from RNAcentral. Lineage: Eukaryota; Viridiplantae; Streptophyta; Magnoliopsida; Poales; Poaceae.
AUGGAUUGGGCGGCGGUGGCGUACACGGCGGCGGCGCUGCUGUGCGCCGCGGCGGCCACCGUCAUCACGCUCGGCCACAUAUACCGCCACCUGCUCCACUACGCCGAGCCCAUCUUCCAGCGCUUCAUCGUCCGCAUCAUCUUCAUGGUCCCGGUCUAUGCAGUGAUGUCAUUUAUUUCCCUUAUCCUACCAGACAAUGCAAUAUAUUUUACCUCUAUCCGAGAAAUCUAUGAUGCUUGGGUCAUCUACAAUUUCUUUUCACUCUGCUUGGCAUGGGUGGGAGGACCUGGUGCUGUGGUGGUGAGUUUGAAUGGCCGAACCCUGAAACCAUCGUGGUUUCUGAUGACUUGCUGUUUCCCAGCUAUUCCUCUAGACGGGCGUUUUAUACGGAGAUGCAAACAAGGCUGUUUGCAGUUUGUUAUUCUUAAGCCUAUCUUGGUGGUUAUUACCUUCAUACUUUAUGCUAAAGGAAAAUAUGAAGAUGGAAACUUCAGUGUCAACCAAUCCUAUUUAUACAUCACUAUCAUUUACACAAUCUCAUACUCGAUGGCGUUAUAUGCUCUUGCAUUGUUCUAUGCGGCAUGCAGAGAUCUACUUCGGCCAUAUAAUCCCGUCCCAAAGUUCAUUAUAAUCAAAUCAGUCGUGUUUCUCACAUACUGGCAGGGUGUCCUGGUUUUCCUUGCUGCAAAGUCUCGAUUUAUCAAGAAUGCUGAAAAGGCUGCUGAUCUCCAGAACUAUGUGCUGUGCGUUGAGAUGCUCAUAGCUGCCAUUGGGCACCUAUUUGCCUUUCCCUACAAGGAGUAUGCAGGUGCAAAUGCUCGCCCUUCGGGUGGUUUCAGGGAAAGCCUUCUUCAUGCUUUGAAAUUCAACGAUUUCUACCAUGACACUGUUCACCAGUUUGCUCCUACCUACAACGAAUAUGUGCUGUACAACCACAAUGAGGGAGAGAGUGCACCGACAAAGUUUCCUUCAGGGAGCGCCGUGCCAAGUGUCCGGGAUGUGGAGUUGGCUGGCAUCACCGUGAUGCCGCCCUCAAAUAGUCCAGUGACCUCAAGCGUGUCAUCCAACCAGGUAGACCAGGACGAAUCAAUGACCACUCCGAUCAGGAACAAAGUGGACCCGCCUGGAGGAAUGUACGACCUCUCGGACUUGCUCGACGUGGACUUGUCUAGCUACCCCGCCAAGGUUCCUGCAAUCUCUGAUGUAAGAAAACAAUGA